Molecule: ribosomal RNA, 397 nt
Filed under: uncultured bacterium
Lineage: Bacteria
Description: partial 16S ribosomal RNA
Rfam family: Bacterial small subunit ribosomal RNA
Source: RNAcentral
AUACGUAGGGGGCGAGCGUUGUCCGGAAUGAUUGGGCGUAAAGGGCGCGUAGGCGGCCCGGUAAGUCUGGAGUGAAAGUCCUGUUUUUAAGAUGGGAAUUGCUUUGGAUACUGUCGGGCUUGAGUGCAGGAGAGGUAAGUGGAAUUCCCAGUGUAGCGGUGAAAUGCGUAGAGAUUGGGAGGAACACCAGUGGCGAAGGCGACUUACUGGACUGUAACUGACGCUGAGGCGCGAAAGUGUGGGGAGCAAACAGGAUUAGAUACCCUGGUAGUCCACACUGUAAACGAUGAAUGCUAGGUGUAGGGGGUAUCGACCCCUUCUGUGCCGCAGUCAACACAAUAAGCAUUCCGCCUGGGGAGUACGGCCGCAAGGUUGAAACUUAAAUGAAUUGGCGGGG